CACGAACGCUGGCGGCAUGCCUAACACAUGCAAGUCGAACGAAGGCUUCGGCCUUAGUGGCGCACGGGUGCGUAACGCGUGGGAAUCUGCCCUUAGGUUCUGAAUAACAGUUAGAAAUGACUGCUAAUACCGGAUGAUGACGUAAGUCCAAAGAUUUAUCGCCUGAGGAUGAGCCCGCGUAGGAUUAGCUAGUUGGUGUGGUAAAGGCGCACCAAGGCGACGAUCCUUAGCUGGUCUGAGAGGAUGAUCAGCCACACUGGGACUGAGACACGGCCCAGACUCCUACGGGAGGCAGCAGUGGGGAAUAUUGGACAAUGGGCGCAAGCCUGAUCCAGCAAUGCCGCGUGAGUGAUGAAGGCCUUAGGGUUGUAAAGCUCUUUUACCCGUGAUGAUAAUGACAGUAGCGGGAGAAUAAGCCCCGGCUAACUCCGUG
Molecule: ribosomal RNA, 433 nt
Filed under: uncultured bacterium
Lineage: Bacteria
Description: partial 16S ribosomal RNA
Rfam family: Bacterial small subunit ribosomal RNA
Source: RNAcentral